AUGCAGGGCAAGACAGACAUGUCUGCCAAGGGCGGCAAGGCCCUGGUCCAGUCGGACGCGGGGGCGUAUGUGGCGUGGUCGGGCGUCGACCAGCCGGAGCUCGCUGCAGAGGGGCUCGGGUGUGGCUUGCUCGUGCUAAGGCCGCUCUCCUUCGCGCUGCCGCACUACGCCGACUCCCACAAGUUCGGCUACGUCCUCGGAGGCUCCGGGGUCGCCGGUGUCCUCCCGGUCGCCACCGGGGACGCCUCCCCCGCGGCCAGGGAGAGGGUCGUGCGCCUCGAGGCCGGCGACGUCAUAGCCGUGCGCACUGGGGAUGUCUCGUGGUGGUACAACGACAGCGACGGCGAUGCGGACGACCUCUCAAUCUUGUUCAUGGGCGACACGGAGCGCGCUGUCAGCCCGGGGGACAUCUCCUACUUCUUUCUCGCCGGCGGCAACAGCGUCCUAGGCGGCUUCGACGCGGGCCUCCUCGCCGGCGCAUGGCCUGGCGUGACGAAGGAGCAGGCCGCCGCCCUUUUCCGGAGCCAGCCAGCCAUCCUCCUCACCGGGCUGAGCACGAAGCUGCCCGGCGUCUGCCCGCGCGAGCACGACAGAAAAGGGCUCGUCGUGAACGCCGGACAAGUGGCUGCAGGUACCCUGGAGACGCUCACCGCGGCGGACCUGGCGGCGCUAGGGGACCUCGGAAUCAGCGCGGUGAUCGGCCGGCUCGAUCCCGGCGCCGCGCCCGCGCCGUGGGUGUUACGGGAGGGUGCGGCGCAGUUGGUGUACGUGGCACAAGGGAGCGCGCGCGUUCAGGUGUCUUCUUCCGCGGGCGGCGAGACGCUGCUGCUGGACGAGGAGGUCGCCGCGGGGAGUGUGUUCGUCGUACCGCGGUUCGCCGUGACGCUCAUCUCCGCCGGCGCCGACGGCGCAGAGUGGGUGUCCCUGAUCAAGAGCGCCAGGCCCGCGGUGGAGCACCUGACCGGGGAUGGCUCGGUGCUCGGCGGCCUGACUGCGCAGGUGGUGCAGGCGUCGCUGAGCGUGGCGCCGGAGCUGGUGGAGCUGCUCGGAGUCCGCAGCGCCGAGCCGUCGCACUGA
This 1077-nucleotide ribosomal RNA is filed under the name Triticum aestivum (bread wheat). Its description in RNAcentral is "partial small subunit ribosomal RNA". The record is from RNAcentral. Lineage: Eukaryota; Viridiplantae; Streptophyta; Magnoliopsida; Poales; Poaceae.